RNAcentral lists this ribosomal RNA (267 nucleotides) under uncultured bacterium. RNAcentral's name for it is "partial 16S ribosomal RNA". It matches the Rfam family "Bacterial small subunit ribosomal RNA", at positions 794 to 1055 of the family's 1533-position model. The record is from RNAcentral.
GUCACGCCCUAACGAUGUCAACUAGGUGUUGGGAGGGUAAAACCUUUUAAGUACCGGAGCUAACGCGUGAAGUUGACCGCCUGGGGAGUACGGCCGCAAGGUUAAAACUACAAAGGAAUUGACGGGGACCCGGCACAAGCGGUGGAUGAUGUGGAUUAAUUCGAUGCAACGCGAAAAACAUUACCUACCCUUGACAUGUCAGGAACUUGCCAGAGAUGGCUUGGUGCUCGAAAGAGAACCUGAACACAGGUGCUGCAUGGCUGUCGU